Molecule: non-coding RNA, 351 nt
Organism: Pelobates cultripes (western spadefoot toad)
Lineage: Eukaryota; Metazoa; Chordata; Amphibia; Anura; Pelobatidae
Source: the annotation of a GenBank genome assembly
GUUGUACUGUGUCCCACCCUGUGGGAUGUCCCCUUGCAUGGGGACUUGCAUAAAAGCCAGUGUGUGGCCAUUACAGAGAGUUCCUGCUUAACCCUCAAAGUGAAGUGUCGUCUCAUUAUUGGGGAAGGAGUUAUUGUAUGCUGUUCCAGUUUGAUUGCCAGGAGUGUAAGCUGAUUGUAUGCUUUUCCUGUUCAGCUGUUUCCAGUAUUCGUGAGUUUCCUGUUCAGGAGUUGGAGAAUUCGUGUAGUUUGCAGUUCGGGAGAUUGGUGCUUGCAGUAGCUGUCUGUGCAUCUGAAAGGGGAAUAUCGCCUAAACGGUUUUUAACCUCUUGUGUGCAAAACAGUCCGUUAC